This 29-nucleotide non-coding RNA is filed under the name Bombyx mori (domestic silkworm). The record is from RNAcentral. Lineage: Eukaryota; Metazoa; Arthropoda; Insecta; Lepidoptera; Bombycidae.
UCUGAAUGUCAACGUGAAGAAAUUCAAGC